UGGGGAAUAUUGCACAAUGGGCGCAAGCCUGAUGCAGCCAUGCCGCGUGUGUGAAGAAGGCCUUCGGGUUGUAAAGCACUUUCAGCGGGGAGGAAGGCGAUAAGGUUAAUAACCUCAUCGAUUGACGUUACCCGCAGAAGAAGCACCGGCUAACUCCGUGCCAGCAGCCGCGGUAAUACGGAGGGUGCAAGCGUUAAUCGGAAUUACUGGGCGUAAAGCGCACGCAGGCGGUCUGUCAAGUCGGAUGUGAAAUCCCCGGGCUCAACCUGGGAACUGCAUUCGAAACUGGCAGGCUAGAGUCUUGUAGAGGGGGGUAGAAUUCAAGGUGUAGCGGUGAAAUGCGUAGAGAUCUGGAGGAAUACCGGUGGCGAAGGCGGCCCCCUGGACAAAGACUGACGCUCAGGUGCGAAAGCGUGGGGAGCAAACAGG
RNAcentral lists this ribosomal RNA (429 nucleotides) under Chloroflexota bacterium. RNAcentral describes it as "Chloroflexi bacterium partial 16S ribosomal RNA". It matches the Rfam family "Bacterial small subunit ribosomal RNA", at positions 355 to 776 of the family's 1533-position model. The record is from RNAcentral. Lineage: Bacteria; Bacillati; Chloroflexota.